RNAcentral lists this ribosomal RNA (497 nucleotides) under uncultured bacterium. RNAcentral's name for it is "partial 16S ribosomal RNA". It matches the Rfam family "Bacterial small subunit ribosomal RNA", at positions 28 to 507 of the family's 1533-position model. The record is from RNAcentral.
GAUGAACGCUGGCGGCGUGCCUAAUACAUGCAAGUCGAGCGAACACACCAGGAGCUUGCUCUUCUGACGUUAGCGGCGGACGGGUGAGUAACACGUGGAUAACCUACCUAUAAGACUGGGAUAACUUCGGGAAACCGGUGCUAAUACCGGAUAAUACAUCGAACCGCAUGGUUCAAUGGUGAAAGACGGCUUUGGCGUCUCUUAUAGAUGGAUCCGCGCCGCAUUAGCUAGUUGGUAAGGUAACGGCUUACCAAGGCAACGAUGCGUAGCCGACCUGAGAGGGUGAUCGGCCACACUGGAACUGAGACACGGUCCAGACUCCUACGGGAGGCAGCAGUAGGGAAUCUUCCGCAAUGGGCGCAAGCCUGACGGAGCAACGCCGCGUGAGUGAUGAAGGUCUUCGGAUCGUAAAACUCUGUUGUUAGGGAAGAACAAAUGCGUGAGUAACUAUGCACGUCUUGACGGUACCUAAUCAGAAAGCCACGGCUAACUACGUG